This 449-nucleotide ribosomal RNA is filed under the name uncultured bacterium. Its description in RNAcentral is "partial 16S ribosomal RNA". It matches the Rfam family "Bacterial small subunit ribosomal RNA", at positions 29 to 523 of the family's 1533-position model. The record is from RNAcentral.
AACGAACGCUGGCGGCAUGCCUAACACAUGCAAGUCGAACGAGAUCUUCGGGUCUAGUGGCGCACGGGUGCGUAACGCGUGGGAAUCUGCCCUUUGGUUCGGAAUAACAGUUGGAAACGACUGCUAAUACCGGAUGAUGACGAAAGUCCAAAGAUUUAUCGCCAGAGGAUGAGCCCGCGUAGGAUUAGCUAGUUGGUGUGGUAAAGGCGCACCAAGGCGACGAUCCUUAGCUGGUCUGAGAGGAUGAUCAGCCACACUGGGACUGAUACACGGCCCAGACUCCUACGGGAGGCAGCAGUGGGGAAUAUGGGACAAUGGGCGAAAGCCUGAUCCAGCAAUGCCGCGUGAGUGAUGAAGGCCUUAGGGUUGUAAAGCUCUUUUACCCGGGAUGAUAAUGACAGUACCGGGAGAAUAAGCUCCGGCUAACUCCGUGCCAGCCGCCGCAGUAA